AAACCAACAGGGAUUGCCUCAGUAACGGCGAGUGAAGCGGCAAAAGCUCAAAUUUGAAAUCUGGCACCUUCGGUGUCCGAGUUGUAAUUUGAAGAAGGUAACUUUGGAGUUGGCUCUUGUCUAUGUUCCUUGGAACAGGACGUCACAGAGGGUGAGAAUCCCGUGCGAUGAGAUGCCCAAUUCUAUGUAAAGUGCUUUCGAAGAGUCGAGUUGUUUGGGAAUGCAGCUCUAAGUGGGUGGUAAAUUCCAUCUAAAGCUAAAUAUUGGCGAGAGACCGAUAGCGAACAAGUACAGUGAUGGAAAGAUGAAAAGAACUUUGAAAAGAGAGUGAAAAAGUACGUGAAAUUGUUGAAAGGGAAGGGCUUGAGAUCAGACUUGGUAUUUUGCAAGCUUUACCUUCGUGGUGGAGUCCCCUGCAGUUUACUGGGCCAGCAUCGGUUUGGAUGGUAGGAUAAUGACUUGGGAAUGUGGCUUUGCUUCGGUAAAGUGUUAUAGCCCUUGUUGAUGCUACCUGUCUAGACCGAGGACUGCGUCUUUGACUAGGAUGUUGGCAUAAUGAUCUUAAGUCGC
This 570-nucleotide ribosomal RNA is filed under the name Schwanniomyces vanrijiae var. yarrowii. RNAcentral's name for it is "eukaryotic LSU rRNA". It matches the Rfam family "Eukaryotic large subunit ribosomal RNA", at positions 62 to 648 of the family's 3401-position model. The record is from RNAcentral. Lineage: Eukaryota; Fungi; Ascomycota; Pichiomycetes; Serinales; Debaryomycetaceae.